This 73-nucleotide transfer RNA is filed under the name Candidatus Nephrothrix sp. EaCA. Its description in RNAcentral is "tRNA-Thr". It matches the Rfam family "tRNA". Rfam says of the family: Transfer RNA (tRNA) molecules are approximately 80 nucleotides in length. Their secondary structure includes four short double-helical elements and three loops (D, anti-codon, and T loops). Further hydrogen bonds mediate the characteristic L-shaped molecular structure. tRNAs have two regions of fundamental functional importance: the anti-codon, which is responsible for specific mRNA codon recognition, and the 3' end, to which the tRNAs corresponding amino acid is attached (by aminoacyl-tRNA synthetases). tRNAs cope with the degeneracy of the genetic code in two manners: having more than one tRNA (with a specific anti-codon) for a particular amino acid; and 'wobble' base-pairing, i.e. permitting non-standard base-pairing at the 3rd anti-codon position. The record is from RNAcentral. Lineage: Bacteria; Pseudomonadati; Bacteroidota; Cytophagia; Cytophagales; Cytophagaceae.
GCCUCCUUAGCUCAGCCGGUAGAGCAACUGACUUGUAAUCAGUAGGUCGUUGGUUCGAUUCCGACAGGGGGCU